Molecule: long non-coding RNA, 2606 nt
Organism: Nematostella vectensis (starlet sea anemone)
Lineage: Eukaryota; Metazoa; Cnidaria; Anthozoa; Actiniaria; Edwardsiidae
Exons: 2
Source: RefSeq, a predicted model, not a curated record
UGACGUCACAUAAUACAUGAGAAAUUGGAAUCUGUGCUUCUUUACGAACGCGCGCUCGCCCUGGUUGGGUAUACUAUCAAAGAUCCAACAGCAGAUAUCCGGCGAAGACGAUCAAGCCGUCGGUCUGCAUGGCGGUAGAAACGCCACCGCAAAUUUGCACUCAAGCGUCGAAGCGUAUUUAGCGCCCGCCUUUUCCAUCAAUAGUAAGGCAUAUACCAUCGUCGCUGUUCAUCAGUUUGAGUUGGGCGACAAGAGCUUAGCAAAAAAAAAAGCGAGAGACAAAGCGCCAAAGCUUCCGUUAAACGCCGCUGUAACGCCUCUUCUAUCCGCUAGCCGCCAUGGUGCGCAAAACUAGUUCGCGGUUUAAAAUCACUCUGACCGCUGUGUUACCCACCAUCUCGGGGCUUCUCAUGUGGACAACACUUCGUGAGAAAAUCUACCCGACUAAGACACAAGAUGAGCGCGGAGUUAAGAUACUUGAGCUCAUUUCUACAGGAUUUGGGCCGCCAUACAAGGAGGACAUGGGGGAGACACUUAUCAUGCUCUCUGUAUAGAGUACAAUGGCCGGCCGACGGGAAGGUGGCUUGAGGAAGUGUUACAAAAACCUUCACAAAUUGCAGUGUGGUCAUCUCGGAACUGCCAACUCAAGGGUAAACACAUUUGUCAAAGCCGUCUUUGACAUAACGCCGAAAGAUUGGUGUAUUCUGUAACAACUAAUGCACCUGAAAGAAUUGGUGGAAACCCGAAAUCACCUAGAUUUAAUCCGUGUAUAUUAACCAUAGCAGCAAUGGCGAUUUUAUAUUGCACCCGCAGUGGUGUUUAUACUAUCACCGCAAUGGUGAAUACGGCCGCAAAGGCGUUUUCAGCGCAAAGGCGGAUAUAUCAUCUAACCGCAACGACGGGCGCACCACAAUGGCGGAUCUAGUGUUUUCAAAGUGUUGUAUAGUAUUCGGGUAAAACAAAAACAACUAGACGGGUAAAGCAAACAUCAGUGCCCAUAAAAGGCCUUAGAACAGGAAAGGCAAAUAUUAGAGUCAUAUAUAGCCGCGAGAAAUGGGUAAAAACAACAGCGGCGAAUAAACCGUUAGAACAGGAGUGGCAAACAUCAGUGUCAAAUAAAGCCGUCAGAACGAAAAAAACAAUAUAAUCCAAAAAUGAACCGUUGGAGUCGGAAAGUAAAAAUCUAAAUUUAGCCGUCAAAACACGGGAAACACCAGCGGCGAAAAGAAUGUAAGAACGGGAAAAAUCAGCGUCAAAUAUAGUUGUCAAAUGGAGGAAAAAAACACAGCAUCGAAUAAACAGAAAGGGAAAAGCAAAAAUCAGCUCCAAACAGCCGUUUCAGCCCGGAAUAAACCGCUAAAAAGGUAAAGGCAAACAUAUGCGUCAAAUAAUAACCGUCAGAACGGGGAGAAAACAACAGCGGCAAAUAUACCGCAAGAACGGGGAAGGCAAACAUCAGUUUCAAGUAAACGUUAAAAAGGGAAAAAUAACAUCAGCCAAAAUAAACCGCAAGAACGGGAAAGUAGCAUCAGUGCCGAAUAAACCCGUUACAACGGUAAAGGGGAACAUCGGCGUCAAAUAUAGCAGUCAGAACGGGAAAAAAUUACAUCAACGACGAAAAACCUGUUAUAAUGGCAAACAUAUACCCGUUUUAAAGGGGAAAAUAACAUCAGCGCCGAAUAAGCCUUUAGAACGGAGAGGCAAACAGUGUCAAAUAUAGUAGCCAGAACGGGAAAAAUAACAUCAGCGCCGAAUAAAUCGUAAGAACUGGAAAGGCAAACAUCAGCAUCAAAUGAAGCCGUCAGAAUUGGAAAAAUAACAUCAGCGCCGAAAAACCCGUUAGAACGAGAAAGGCCGAUUUAUACCAGCGUCAAAUAUAGCCGUCAAAGCUGGGAAAAUAACAUCAGCGCCGAAAAAAAAACGCUUACGGGAAGGCAAACAUCAGCGUCAAAUAUAACUGUCAGUACGGUGAAAAGACAUCAGUGGCGAAAAAACAGUAAGAACUGGAAAGGCAAAAAACAGCACUUAAUGAAGCCGUAACGGGGAAAAUAACAUCAGCGCCGAAAAGCCUGGAUCCAAACGAUCUAAAAAAAACGGAUAGCGUAAUGAAGAGAUGUAAAUUGAUAUACGAAAACCGUUAACUUCUAAAAAUCCAGUGGCUAGAAAAAAAUCAAUCCAAAAAGAGUGGCUUUACGGCGCUUUUCAAACACUAAAGCAAACUAAAUUAGCCUUUGAAAAUACAUUGGGUGAAAACCGUGAAAAUUUCUUAAAGGAGUGGCUCUACAGAAAAUUGGGUAAAAGACUCGAGGACAAUGUCGAAGAGGAAUGGCUUUUAAAGCGCUUUAUGGACGCGAGAAGGGAAAAUAGAUCAGCCCUUCAGUAGGUAAAACUCACGAGAUCACGAGCGCGACGAGAAAGAAUGCGCCAGCAGUACUAAUCAGCGGUUCACAGGAAACUCAAUAAAAUGCGGCGGUUCAAGAAUUCUCUGGAAAAUGUGGAGAGAACAGUAGUUCGCUUGUAAAGAGCAUUGCUUGGAAUUGUUCAUGUUGAAAUGCGCUUUUGAUCAAACGCUGCUGCCCAAUAAAAAUCAGGUAUAUGGACCGUCA